UUAUAUUAUACGUGUUGAUUUCACAUUUAUUUUGGAUUUAAGUACACGAUUUUGAGAUGCAGGGUAUUGGUAUUAAGACACAAGACCAUGGCAUUUUACCUGCGAGCAAAGACAUUGGAAAGUAAGUAAUAUUAUAUUAUAUAUGUUUUUUUUAUUGACCGUCUCGUGUUUCAAUACAUUAAACUGGAAACGAUGGAUUAAGAACAAUUAAGAUAAAAUAAUAAUAUCAUAAUCUCGUCGAGCUCGUCGGUAUGAUGUAAAAAUUAAAUACUAGACGGCAAACACAAAACGUAUACAACAGCGCCAUCUAUUGA
Molecule: long non-coding RNA, 314 nt
Organism: Acyrthosiphon pisum (pea aphid)
Lineage: Eukaryota; Metazoa; Arthropoda; Insecta; Hemiptera; Aphididae
Exons: 2
Source: RefSeq, a predicted model, not a curated record